Long non-coding RNA from Pezoporus flaviventris, 801 nucleotides. RefSeq lists it as uncharacterized. Lineage: Eukaryota; Metazoa; Chordata; Aves; Psittaciformes; Psittacidae. The record is from RefSeq and is a predicted model, not a curated record. The transcript is spliced from 3 exons.
UGGGGUGGGAUUUCACUGCCCAAGGUCCCAUCCGGGUGCAUCCCCAGCGCGCUGGGAGGUGAUGAGCUGUGCCUGCAGAGAGGAGCAAUCCCAGGCAGCCUGAAGGGAGGGCACUGGCACGGGGCAGAGCGAGACAGCUCCGACUUGGCAGCUCUGACCUGCUAAUUGCUGCUCUUCUCAUGUGUUUCCGAAGCGUGACCCUGCCUGGGCUGCAGCACCAGCCGCUUCCCUUGGCUGCGAUGGGAAUGCUCCUCCUGCUCCCAGCACUGGGAGGUUACGGGGGGAUCAGCAGUGCCUGUGCAAGGGGAAUGACCUGGGAACCACCUUUAGCUGCAGCUGGGCCUUGCCAGCUCUCCUCAUUCCUCUGCUGCUGGAGGCUGCAGCCCUGGUGCUCUGCAAAGGGCUGGUUCCCCCCCUAGCCGGAGCUGGGGCGAUGCUCAGGGCAGACCCUGUCCCAGUUCUCUGUGCCAGGAUGGAUAAUGUCCCUCUGAGCCCAGGGAAGGAGACAGCGGAAAACUGUGCUGGCUCCGGUUCCCUGCUCUCCUCUCCGGUGUCACCCUGCCCAGCUGGGUUGAGCGCUGGGGACACUUUGCCUCGAAGGAGAUCAGCACGAGGAGGAUGAAGGAAUCGGAGAUGGUCGUAGGAGCCACCACACGGAAGCGGAUGGCAUCCUGAGCCAGCCAGAAGGGCUUCUCUGGCAUCUCGUGCUGGUAGAAAAUCAACCUGCUGUCCACCUAGAAACAAAGAAAACCCCAUGAGCUCUGCUGAAGGGUAAAAUACAGACCCAUGUGGAAAACAGUG